Molecule: non-coding RNA, 529 nt
Organism: Lupinus albus (white lupine)
Lineage: Eukaryota; Viridiplantae; Streptophyta; Magnoliopsida; Fabales; Fabaceae
Source: the annotation of a GenBank genome assembly
AUGAAUCAGGGAAGCGAGAAGAAGAGAGAAAAGAGAAGACGAAGGGGAGAAGAAGAUGGGUUCGUGGGUUUUCUCCUCCGGAAACGGCAGCGGCGUUUCCGCUCCGGUGAAGGUUAGCUCUUGUCCUCUUCUCCGAUGACGUUGAUGCGGUGGCUUCAAUUCCCUUCUCUGUUAUGACCCGAAAGCGGCUCGAAUUUGUGGCUCGAAAUCGAUAGAACCACAAGGAUUCGGUAGUUGCAACCAUCAUUUGGUAUUCUUUAACUUUUUGCAGGGAGUAGUAAAACAUAUUGAGUAAGGAGUUGUAGGUUUGAUAAAUCAUAGCUGUUACAACCAAAAUCCCCCCGUGUUGUGCUGAAAUCCUCCUCCAACCAAUGCAUAAUGUCAGUGAUAGCAUUUGGUACUGCAUCAUUCGGAACCGUUCUUGAAGCUUCUCUCGAUCCUAUAUUAAGCUCUCCAGCUUAUACUUUGUGAUGAUAAUAGGAGUCAUGGUGGACAAUGAUCUUUUAUUUGGUUGAAUGAAACUUGUUGG